Molecule: unclassified non-coding RNA, 253 nt
Filed under: uncultured Planctomycetales bacterium
Lineage: Bacteria; Pseudomonadati; Planctomycetota; Planctomycetia; Planctomycetales
Description: contains 16S-23S intergenic spacer region
Rfam family: Bacterial small subunit ribosomal RNA
Source: RNAcentral
CACGUACUGUGCGAACGUUAUUCGGAAUCACUGGGCUUAAAGGGUGCGUAGGCGGCCGUCCAAGUCAGGUGUGAAAGGCUCCGGCUCAACCGGAGGAUUGCGCUUGAAACUGGUCGGCUUGAGUGAGACAGGGGUGUGUGGAACUGCCGGUGGAGCGGUGAAAUGUGUUGAUAUCGGCAGGAACACCGGAGGCGAAAGCGACACACUGGGUCUCAACUGACGCUGAGGCACGAAAGCUAGGGUAGCGAACGGG